CCCGACUGCUAUUUGGGUGAGGAUAAGCCAUGCGAGUUGAAUGGGAAACCUAAAGUUCCCAUGGCAAACUGCUCAGUAACACAUGAUCAACUUACCCUAUAGAGAAAAAUAACCUCGGGAAACUGAGGAUAAUGUUUCAUAGUUGAAUUGGCUUGGAAAAGUUUUUCGACGAAAGGGGUAAAAAAAAUGGUUUUUAUCUGCUAUAGGAUAGGAUCGUGUUCGAUUAUGGUUGUUGGUGAGGUAAUGGCUCACCAAGCCGAUAGUCGAUAGGGGCCGUGAGAGCGGGAGCCCCGAGAUGGGUACUGAGACAACGACCCAGGCCUUACGAGGCGCAGCAGGCGCGAAACCUCCGCAAUACACGAAAGUGUGACGGGGUUACCCAAAGUGUUCAAUAGAACUGUGGUAGGUGAGUAAUGUUCCCUACUAGAAAGGAGAGGGCAAGGCUGGUGCCGGCCGCCGCGGUAAAACCAGCUCUUCAAGUGGUCGGGAUAAUAUUGGGCUUAAAGUGUCCGUAGCCGGUUUAGUAAGUUCCUGGUAAAAUCGGGUAGCUUAACUAUCUAUAUGCUAGGAAUACUACUAUACUAGAGGGCGGGAGAGGUCUGAGGUACUGCAGGGGUAGGGGUGAAAUCUUAUAAUCCUUGUUGGACCACCAGUGGCGAAGGCGUCAGACUGGAACGCGCCUGACGGUGAGGGACGAAAGCCAGGGGAGCGAACCGGAUUAGAUACCCGGGUAGUCCUGGCCGUAAACGAUGCAUACUAGGUGAUGGCACGGCCAUGAGCCGUGUCAGUGCCGUAGGGAAACCGUUAAGUGUGCCGCCUGGGAAGUACGGUCGCAAGGCUAAAACUUAAAGGAAUUGGCGGGGGAGCACCAUCAAGGGGUGAAGCUUGCGGUUCA
Molecule: ribosomal RNA, 895 nt
Filed under: uncultured archaeon
Lineage: Archaea
Description: bacterial SSU rRNA
Rfam family: Archaeal small subunit ribosomal RNA
Source: RNAcentral